UUAAAGGUACCCGUACCGCAAACCGACACAGGUGGGUGAGGAGAGUAUCCUAAGGCCCGCGAGAGAACUGUUGUUAAGGAACUCGGCAAAAUGACCCCGUAACUCAGGGAUAAGGGGUGCCACCAUCUGGUGGCCGCAGAGAAUAGGCCCAAGCGACUGUUUACCAAAAACAUAGGUUUCUGCUAAGUCGCAAGACGAUGUAUAGGAGCUGACGCCUGCCCGGUGCUGGAAG
Molecule: ribosomal RNA, 232 nt
Filed under: Clostridioides difficile
Lineage: Bacteria; Bacillati; Bacillota; Clostridia; Peptostreptococcales; Peptostreptococcaceae
Description: partial 23S ribosomal RNA
Rfam family: Bacterial large subunit ribosomal RNA
Source: RNAcentral